This 622-nucleotide ribosomal RNA is filed under the name uncultured Alphaproteobacteria bacterium. RNAcentral describes it as "bacterial SSU rRNA". It matches the Rfam family "Bacterial small subunit ribosomal RNA", at positions 1 to 670 of the family's 1533-position model. The record is from RNAcentral. Lineage: Bacteria; Pseudomonadati; Pseudomonadota; Alphaproteobacteria.
GCCCUUAGAGUUUGAUCAUGGCUCAGAACGAACGCUGGCGGCAUGCCUAACACAUGCAAGUCGAACGAGACCUUCGGGUCUAGUGGCGCACGGGUGCGUAACGCGUGGGAACCUGCCUUUAGGUUCGGAAUAACUCAGAGAAAUUUGAGCUAAUACCGGAUAAUGUCUUCGGACCAAAGAUUUAUCGCCUUUAGAUGGGCCCGCGUUGGAUUAGCUAGUUGGUGGGGUAAAGGCCUACCAAGGCGACGAUCCAUAGCUGGUCUGAGAGGAUGAUCAGCCACACUGGGACUGAGACACGGCCCAGACUCCUACGGGAGGCAGCAGUGGGGAAUAUUGGACAAUGGGCGAAAGCCUGAUCCAGCAAUGCCGCGUGAGUGAUGAAGGCCUUAGGGUUGUAAAGCUCUUUUACCAGGGAUGAUAAUGACAGUACCUGGAGAAUAAGCUCCGACUAACUCCGUGCCAGCAGCCGCGGUAAUACGGAGGGAGCUAGCGUUGUUCGGAAUUACUGGGCGUAAAGCGCACGUAGGCGGCUUUUUAAGUCAGGGGUGAAAUCCCGGGGCUCAACCCCGGAACUGCCCUUGAAACUGGGAAGCUAGAAUCUUGGAGAGGCGAGUGGAAUUCC